RNAcentral lists this ribosomal RNA (295 nucleotides) under Salmonella enterica. RNAcentral describes it as "partial 23S ribosomal RNA". It matches the Rfam family "Bacterial large subunit ribosomal RNA", at positions 490 to 686 of the family's 2925-position model. RNAcentral also lists the same sequence under 1 other name. Lineage: Bacteria; Pseudomonadati; Pseudomonadota; Gammaproteobacteria; Enterobacterales; Enterobacteriaceae. The record is from RNAcentral.
GUGAACCAGUACCGUGAGGGAAAGGCGAAAAGAACCCCGGCGAGGGGAGUGAAAAAGAACCUGAAACCGUGUACGUACAAGCAGUGGGAGCCCCACCACUAAGCCAGUGGUGAACUCCACAUACGCAUCCUUUGCUGAGGAUACGGUUAACGGAGCGAAAGCGACGUUCAACCUCAAAAGAAGCAGAGGGGGCUUAGUGGUGGGGUGACUGCGUACCUUUUGUAUAAUGGGUCAGCGACUUAUAUUCUGUAGCAAGGUUAACCGAAUAGGGGAGCCGGAGGGAAACCGAGUCUUA